RNAcentral lists this ribosomal RNA (253 nucleotides) under uncultured bacterium. RNAcentral's name for it is "partial 16S ribosomal RNA". It matches the Rfam family "Bacterial small subunit ribosomal RNA", at positions 524 to 776 of the family's 1533-position model. The record is from RNAcentral.
UACGUAGGGGGCUAGCGUUGUCCGGAUUUAUUGGGCGUAAAGAGCGUGUAGGCGGCCAGGUAGGUCCGUUGUGAAAACUCGAGGCUCAACCUCGAGACGUCGGCGGAAACCCUCUGGCUAGAGUACGGAAGAGGCGAGUGGAAUUCCUGGUGUAGCGGUGAAAUGCGCAGAUAUCAGGAGGAACACCAAUUGCGAAGGCAGCUCGCUGGGACGUUACUGACGCUGAGACGCGAAAGCGUGGGGAGCAAACAGG